Molecule: long non-coding RNA, 945 nt
Organism: Canis lupus familiaris (dog)
Lineage: Eukaryota; Metazoa; Chordata; Mammalia; Carnivora; Canidae
Exons: 4
Source: RefSeq, a predicted model, not a curated record
UUAGGGCUCUUCAGCUAUGGAAUCCAAAUUACUCUUCUGGAUGCUCGCCCAGAGCAAAGCUCUGGCUUCGAAUUCUCUGGACGGCAGCCAUGGUAGAGACAUUUGCUACUGCCAGCAUGUAAAGGAAAAACAUGGUCUCUAUCACUCAGGCAAGGACACAAAUUGAAUGUUUCUAGGAUACCUCAGCCAGGAAGGAGGUUUGUCACCAGCGUCUCCGGAUAGAGAAACCAUUCCCUCUGCUCCCCACAUGGCUAAUCUUCACUAGUGUUGCAGAAUGGAAAAGAACUUCCAGAGACUGAAGAACACUCUGGAAGAAUCAUGAAUUUGAGAACAGACUCAAUCUGCAUUUUCAAUCCCACGGGGCUCACAUGUUUCCACAUGCUCAGGAAUAGUGUCUACUGAGAUCCAAGAGUGCCUUUGGAAGCUUGGAUUUUCUAACCGAAAGCUAGGAUUUUGUAACCAUGCCAGCAAUAUGCCUGCAGACUGGCACUGUCCUUCCUGAAGCCCUAAAGAAAGUGUAAUUGUCACUCAGGAUGAUCAAGGUCUUUUCCUAAAAUCCCUCAUCAAGUAAAUAAACAGAAAUCAGUUGGUUGGUUAAGAGCACCAUCCACUCCUUGGAUGGAAGACAUCUCUGACUUUGAAUAUGAACAUCUGACAUUCCAAUCUAGACUCCUCCACAAGAGCAGUCCCAUCAUCCUAUCUUGGCUCCCAGCUCAACCCCUCUGCUGCAAGUCCUGACUCCAAACCCUGUGGGAUACUAAAAUACAAGAUCAUAGCUUGCAAAUAGAGUGUGCAUCUGCUGUGGAUUGUUGUUUUGGUUUAAUUAGGACUUGCUGUUUCCUGAAUUCCUAUAAUUUCAUUUGAUGAAUUGUGUUAGUUACUUGUUCUGCAGUCUUUGAACAUGUGGCACUUAUCAGGAGAAAUGACUCCCUUUUUCCCCUUUGU